This 253-nucleotide ribosomal RNA is filed under the name uncultured bacterium. RNAcentral's name for it is "partial 16S ribosomal RNA". It matches the Rfam family "Bacterial small subunit ribosomal RNA", at positions 524 to 776 of the family's 1533-position model. The record is from RNAcentral.
UACGUAGGGAGCAAGCGUUGUCCGGAAUCAUUGGGCGUAAAGCGCGCGUAGGCGGCCCGAUAAGUCCGCUGUAAAAGUCAACGGCUCAACUGUUGAAAGCCGGUGGAUACUGUCGGGCUAGAGUUCGGCAGGGGAGACUGGAAUUCCUGGUGUAGCGGUGAAAUGCGCAGAUAUCAGGAGGAACACCGGUGGCGAAGGCGGGUCUCUGGGCCGAUACUGACGCUGAGGAGCGAAAGCGUGGGGAGCGAACAGG